This 405-nucleotide ribosomal RNA is filed under the name uncultured bacterium. RNAcentral's name for it is "partial 16S ribosomal RNA". It matches the Rfam family "Bacterial small subunit ribosomal RNA", at positions 30 to 526 of the family's 1533-position model. The record is from RNAcentral.
AUUGAACGCUAGCGGGAUGCUUUACACAUGCAAGUCGGACGAGUGGCGGACGGGUGAGUAAUAUAUCGGAACGUGCCCAGUAGCGGGGGAUAACUACUCGAAAGAGUGGCUACUACCGCAUACUAUUGGAGCGGCCGAUAUCUGAUUAGCUAGUUGGUGGGGUAAAGGCUCACCAAGGCAACGAUCCGUAGCUGGUUUGAGAGGACGACCAGCGAAACGGGGAAGGUGACACGGCGCAGACUCCUACGGGAGGCAGUAGUGGGGAAGUUUGGAGAAUGGGGGAAGCCCUGAUGCCGCGAUGCCGCGCGUAUGAGAAGGCCUUCGGGUUGUAAAGUACUUUUGGCAGAGAAGCGGUAUCUGUAUAAUAAGCACCUGCUAAUUACGUGCCAGCAGCCGCGGUAAUAC